AGAUUGAACGCUGGCGGCAGGCCUAACACAUGCAAGUCGAGCGGCAGCACGGGUACUUGUACCUGGUGGCGAGCGGCGGACGGGUGAGUAAUGCCUAGGAAUCUGCCUGGUAGUGGGGGAUAACGCUCGGAAACGGACGCUAAUACCGCAUACGUCCUACGGGAGAAAGCAGGGGACCUUCGGGCCUUGCGCUAUCAGAUGAGCCUAGGUCGAUUAGCUAGUUGGUGAGGUAAUGGCUCACCAAGGCGACGAUCCGUAACUGGUCUGAGAGGAUGAUCAGUCACACUGGAACUGAGACACGGUCCAGACUCCUACGGGAGCAGCAGUGGGGAAUA
This 335-nucleotide ribosomal RNA is filed under the name uncultured soil bacterium. RNAcentral describes it as "bacterial SSU rRNA". It matches the Rfam family "Bacterial small subunit ribosomal RNA", at positions 26 to 363 of the family's 1533-position model. The record is from RNAcentral.